RNAcentral lists this ribosomal RNA (789 nucleotides) under uncultured bacterium. RNAcentral's name for it is "bacterial SSU rRNA". It matches the Rfam family "Bacterial small subunit ribosomal RNA", at positions 8 to 796 of the family's 1533-position model. The record is from RNAcentral.
AGAGUUUGAUCAUGGCUCAGAAUGAACGCUGGCGGCGUGCUUAACACAUGCAAGUCGAAUGAGAAAGUUCCGCAAGGGAUGAGUAGCAUGGCAGACGGGUGAGUAACGCGUAGGAAUCUACCUUUUAGUAAGGAAUACAUUUGAGAAAUCGAAUAUAAUACUGUAUACGUUUUCGAAAGAAAAGAAAGACGGCCUCUUGCUGUCGCUGAAAGAUGAGCCUGCGUACUAUUAGCUAGUUGGUAGGGUAAAGGCCUACCAAGGCGAUGAUGGUUAUCCGGCCUGAGAGGGCGAUCGGACACAUUGGGACUGAGAUACGGCCCUAACUCCUACGGGAGGCAGCAGUGGGGAAUUUUGCGCAAUGGGCGAAAGCCUGACGCAGCAACGCCGCGUGGAGGAUGAAGGUCUUUGGAUUGUAAACUUCUGUUAAUCGGGAAGAAAGAAUAAAGGUUAAUACCCUUUGUUUAUGACGGUACCGGUUUAGAAAGCCCCGGCUAACUUCGUGCCAGCAGCCGCGGUAAUACGAAGGGGGCAAGCGUUAUUCGGAAUGAUUGGGCGUAAAGGGCGCGUAGGCGGCGUAAUAAGUUUAUUGUUUAAUCUCCUGGCCUAACCAGGAACACGCAGUAAAUACUGUUAUGCUAGAGUUCGGAAGAGAGAAGUGGAAUUCUCGGAAGCGGUAAAAUGCGUAGAUCUCGAGAGGAACACCGAUGGCGAAGGCAGCUUCUUAGGACGAUACUGACGCUGAGGCGCGAAGGCGUGGGGAGCAAACAGGAUUAGAUACCCUAGUAGUCC